UCCCAGACUCCUACGGGAGGCAGCAGCGGGGGAUAUUGCACAAUGGGGGAAACCCUGAUGCAGCGACGCCGCGUGGGCGAAGAAGUAUUUCGGUAUGUAAAGCUCUAUCAGCAGGGAAGAAAUUGACGGUACCUGAGUAAGAAGCUCCGGCUAAAUACGUGCCAGCAGCCGCGGUAAUACGUAGGGGGCAAGCGUUAUCCGGAUUUACUGGGUGUAAAGGGGGCGCAGACGGCAGCGCAAGCCAGGAGUGAAAGCCCGGGGCCCAACCCCGGGACUGCUCUUGGAACUGCGCGGCUGGAGUGCAGGAGGGGCAGGCGGAAUUCCUGGUGUAGCGGUGAAAUGCGUAGAUAUCAGGAGGAACACCGGUGGCGAAGGCGGCCUGCUGGACUGCGACUGACGUUGAGGCCCGAAAGCGUGGGGAGCAAACAGGAUUAGAUACCCCAGUAAC
This 448-nucleotide ribosomal RNA is filed under the name uncultured bacterium. Its description in RNAcentral is "partial 16S ribosomal RNA". It matches the Rfam family "Bacterial small subunit ribosomal RNA", at positions 329 to 794 of the family's 1533-position model. The record is from RNAcentral.